UUGCACGCUGGCGGCAGGCCUAACACAUGCAAGUCGAACGGUAACAGGAAGAAGCUUGCUUCUUUGCUGACGCGUGGCGGACGGGUGAGUAAUGUCUGGGAAACUGCCUGAUGGAGGGGGAUAACUACUGGAAACGGUAGCUAAUACCGCAUAACGUCGCAAGACCAAAAAGGGGGACCUUCGGGCCUCUUGCCAUCGGAUGUGCCCAGAUGGGAUUAGCUAGUAGGUGGGGUAACGGCUCACCUAGGCGACGAUCCCUAGCUGGUCUGAGAGGAUGACCAGCCACACUGGAACUGAGACACGGUCCAGACUCCUACGGGAGGCAGCAGUGGGGAAUAUUGCACAAUGGGCGCAAGCCUGAUGCAGCCAUGCCGCGUGUAUGAAGAAGACCUUCGGGUUGUAAAGUACUUUCAGCGGGGAGGAAGGGAGUAAAGUUAAUACCUUUGCUCAUUGACGUUACCCGCAGAAGAAGCACCGGCUAACUCCGUG
RNAcentral lists this ribosomal RNA (489 nucleotides) under uncultured bacterium. Its description in RNAcentral is "partial 16S ribosomal RNA". It matches the Rfam family "Bacterial small subunit ribosomal RNA", at positions 30 to 507 of the family's 1533-position model. The record is from RNAcentral.